UUGGCUGUCAACAAAAAAGCGCGGGCGUUGAGGUCGUGGUCUCCGCGGCGACCGGCUUCCAUAGUUUAGGUACGGAGGAAGCUAGUUCAAGGCCGCCGCCAUGGCCGAGUCGCCGCGCCUGCCGGACGGCCGGCUGGACCUGAGCCGGCCGCGCUGGGACCAGAGCACGUUCGCCGGCCGGCUGCGCCACUUCUUCAGCAUCACCUCGCCGCGGCUGGCGCUGCACGGCGCCGCCGACGUGGAGGCCGCCCGCCGCCUGGUGGAGCAGUACCGCGCCGGCGCCGAGCCGGCCGGCACCACUGAGCAGCAGGUGUGGCGCGCCAUGGCGCUCUGCGACUCGGCGCUCCACCCGGACACCGGACAGCUGCAGAGCGUGGUGGGACGCAUGUCGUUCCAGGUACCCGGCGGCAUGGUGCUGAUUGGCGGCAUGGUCACCUUCUACCGCAGCACGGCCGCCGUCGUCUUCUGGCAGUGGGCCAACCAGUCCUUCAACGCAUUCGUCAACUUUACCAACCGCAACGCCAAGAGCCCGCUGUCGACCACCCAGCUGGGCGUGGCCUACGUGUCGGCCACCUCGUGCGCGCUGGUUACGGCGCUGGGCCUGAAGCGGGUGCUGGCAUCGCGCGCCUCGCCGCUGGCGCAGCGGUUCGUGCCGCUGGCGGCCGUGGUGGCGUCCAACUGUAUCAACGUGCCGCUGAUGCGCCAGGGCGAGCUGCUGGGCGGCGUGCCCGUGCGCGACGCGGCCGGCCGCGAGGCGUGCGUGUCGCGCGCCGCCGCCGCCAAGGGCAUCUCUCAGGUGCUGGUGAGCAGGAACGUGAUCGUGGCGCCGAGCAUGCUGCUGCUGCCGGUGCUGAUGUCGCGGCUGGACCGGGUGGCCUGGUACGCCGGCCGGCGCCGGCUGCACGCGCCCGUGCAGACGCUGCUCUCCGGCGCCGUGCUGCUGCUCAUGGUGCCGGUGGGCUGCGCCAUCUUCCCCCAGACGUGUCGCAUCUCGCCAGAGACACUGCGCCGCCUGGAGCCGGCCAGCUACGAGGAGCUGCGCCGCCGCUACGGCCCGCAGCCGCUGCCGGACGCGCUCUACUUCAACAAGGGACUGUAGGCGGCCGGACGUGCUGCAAUGGACCCACUGGCCACUGCGCACCGCCGAGGGGGCUACUGGAUGUUCCAACGAUAAGCUUGAUCACCGGAUCGUCCUCGAGUGUCGCUACAUUCCUCUGAAAUGCAUUCGAAUUUAUGUAGGCUUAUUGGAGAGAUUAAAAUCAAUCAAGCCAUGGUUUGGCUAAAUCUACUAGUUGAUUGGGUUCACAUUUUACGGUUGUGGUAAUAGCGACAGGUCAGCUCAAACAUGCUGUGAUCAACUACUUAAAGGUGCAAUUUUACCAGGUUUACCAUACUCAUCCAUAUGCACCGAAGUAAUAAUACGGCACAUCAUAAUUAUCCAUCUAAAAGAAAAGUGAAAAGCAUUGCUGUUUGAAUCGAAUCGUGACUUAUAAACUACGUGAAACAAUCAUUGUUAUUUCAAAGCUCCAAUAUUUGUUCUUGCUGUGCGUCUUUGAGUAUGACGUUGGUUAAUGUUAUAGGGCCUUGAUUCGUGAAUGGGUAAUCAAAAUGCUCGUUUUGACACAUUGCAUUCAAUUGUUUGCAGUAAUCCGUCGCUAUGCAUUGGAUGAUGUUUAUGAAUAAUGCAUUCAAUUGUUUGCAGUAAUCCGUCGCUAUGCAUUGGAUGAUGUUUAUGAAUAAUCAGGUGCGCGCAUCUUGCCAAUGUUAGGGGGGAAAGCUGGUUGUUUUAGCGUCAUUCAGGUGGUGUUGCACACCGUUGUGCAUUUCGUUAACCAUUUUAAUCAGUUUCCUUUUUCUCUGUCGAGAAGUUUGGUUCACUGGAGCUCUGUCUCAACUGCCAAAUGGUUGCACACCCACGUUUGUUGUGAGUUUGCAGCACGCUAGUUGGCUGUCACUGGCCAGUGCUAGAUCGCCACCAGGCUAUCCACACGGGUUGAAGGGCACUGCAUACUCCAUUCCGGCUGCACGCAAUGUCACGGUAUUAGCUUGGUAGGAGUUUGUUUACCGUCGCUCAACUCGGGUGAGGGCUUGGUUGGGUGCAGUUCGAUCGAAGAAGCUCUAGUCUUAGCAGUUAGAAUGACUGUGUGAAACCGACUAUAUUGAGCGGGCAAAAUCUUGAAAUGACUUCGCGUCGAUUCAAUUCAACUGAUUUUGCGCGAUGAACCACGUUGAAUCAGCACAGUUCGUCACCAUGAAGAGCUUGUCACAGCGCUGACCGAUAUGAAUUGAAGGGUAGAUCAUGGUAGUUGCAUGCGUAUGGUGCGUCCCAAGUUCCAAGGCACCUCUUUUGGUGCAGUGUGUGUGUCGCGAACCCAGACCCGUGACGGUACGUGUGGCUAGCCUUAGAAACGUCUUCCAUGGCUUAAAACGCUUAGGGAUGUCUAGGGGUCGCGGCAAUACCUUAGGACUUACGACAAUACCUUGGGGUGUCGUAUGCAGGACAAUACCUUAGGCCUUAGGGUGCCGUAUGUAGAGUUCACGAACUGUUUGGUGUUUAAUUCUUGGUUGUCUUGGGAAUAUAUGUCCAAAUGAAA
This 2594-nucleotide unclassified non-coding RNA is filed under the name Amphibalanus amphitrite. RNAcentral describes it as "diphthine methyltransferase-like, transcript variant X1". Lineage: Eukaryota; Metazoa; Arthropoda; Thecostraca; Balanomorpha; Balanidae. The record is from RNAcentral.